AUCCAUCUUCUCCCUAUAAAUACCCAUUGCCAUGCAUUCAUGUAAGAGACUCAUCCACCCUUCACCAUAACUUACCUAUAUCCAUCCACCACCAUAACCUAUCACUCAUCCAUCAUACCACACAUUGUGCCGCUGCAAAGAAGAAAAAGGAGGAUUGCUUGGAGUUGUGCUAGCCAUUCAAUUUGGAUUGUUGAAGCAUUCUAGGUGUAUUCUACUUUGGUUUUCAAUGUUUAAUUUCAAUUGUUAACUAAACCCCUUUUGGCUAGGGGGAAUUUCGAAACCAUGAACAUAUUUGUGUUAUGAAUUGAUUAAUUCCAGUUGUGAUUUCAUAAAGUGUGAAUGCAAUUUGCUUAACUGUUUUAUUCAAAACUUAUUCUUGUAUGUUGAUUAAGAAGGCCUACAUAGUUUGCAUGCUUGAAUUUGAUGCUAAAAUAUAAAUGAGUUUCACCUAAUCGUUACAAAUUUAUAUUCAUGAGUAGUGAAGGUUGCUAGUCACAAUCGCAUUAAUUGAAUUCUUGGCAAACAUAUCAUGCAUUCAUAGUUACGAAUGUCUCGUCAACACUUUUGAUUUUCAUGGAACGUAAUGAUCUCUGAUUGUAUCUCUAUUAUGCAUUCAUGUAGGGGACCUUUGGAGAAUGAUUUGGGUUGUCGCAUGCAUUCAUCCAAUUCAAUGAGUAAAGGAAAAUCUGAGAGUUAAUUAGUGCAUUACGGUUAAUCUGGGGUGUUGAGCUUUAUAAUUUAUUGAAAAGCAACUGGAAAUCGUUUCAUAAGCAAGUGUGUCAUGUGUGGAGAAGGAUCAUCUAGCUAGCCCAUCAUCCAUUUAAUUCACCAAAUUCGUCAAAAAUCUGUAUAGUUCUAGUUUAUGUUUUGUUUUACUUAAAAUUCGUUAGUUUUGUGUAUCAAAUUAGUUAGAAUCUAUCUUAGUUUGUGUUUUUAAGUGUUUUGAGUCAAGUUAAAACCAAUUUUCGUUCAAAGUCAUUCCUAGUGUCUAGUUUGAGUUUAUUAAUUGUUUUAAGCUGUUUUGUGACAUGCUUGAACUAGUGUUUGUGGAUUUUACGUUGUUGUAAUUUGUUUUAUGACUUGUAUUACAAACUACAAAAUUCCUAUGUUUUAUGAGCUUUAUGUAUGUUUUCUUGAACAAUAUUUCUCAUAAUUUUUCAAUUACCAUUCAAAGAUCAUCCAUGCAAAAAUUCAUUGAAAGCGAAAAUCAUGUAAUUACUAAUUGUGGCAUGACAAAUAGAAGACGACGAUGACAAAGUUGUCGAUAACAUAUAUAUAACUUUGCGUUCUAAUAUUAACUUGGAAUCUAUAAAAUUUGGUGUUAAUUGUAAUAUUUAGUGAUUAUUUACAUAAUAGUAGAGGAUCCUUAUAAGGUGGACGUACUAAUGAGAAUACAUCACAGAAAUAUGCUAUUAACUAAAUUCUAUAAAUACUAAAACCCAGCAACUGUUCUAAAGCACAAUGAAAUGACGGAUUUGUCAUCUUCAAACGUUCUUUUCUUUCAUUUAUUUUAAGGAAAACUAAUGAAAAAGGCUUGAAAACUUUUAGUUUUAAUGAUAAGGACAAAAUAAAGGGUAAAGUGAAUAGUACCAUGUUUGACUUUUUAGUGUAAAAAUGUGGUUUUGUUAAAGUGAACAGUACCGUGGGCUUUUCGUUAAAACUCCCUUUAUUUUAUGGGGGUACAGUGAAAAGACAAGAAUGCCCAUUCUUAGGAAUGGCUCGCUCGUGGCUUUCCUCCCCCACCAUUGCUUUCUUGCUUCAAUCCGAAUCGACACGUUCCCUGACCUUUUCCUUGUUGCUGCAAUUCGAAUCCACACGACAACCUGCUCAUCCAAAUCAAUUUCUGCACGUUUCAUUUGGCAACCCUAUUCUUCCACAUCGUUCUAAACCCAAAACCCAAAUCGUUGUUGCUCAUCCAAAACCCAGACAGCCGCCACCACCACGUUUUACAAAUUCCUCUUGACUGAAGGUAAGCGAAAAUUGCCCUCUUCAUCUCCACAAGUAAAUUUGAUUAUCUAUUAAUUUCCCCCAUUUUUUUUUUUGUUUCAAAUUUACAUCGAUUGCUAGGGUUUUGGAAGGGUGUAUGGGUUUGGGUAAUAUUCAUAAACCAGGUUGCACAGACACUUUGAAACUCCAAAGUGUCAGAGUUUGUUUUUAAUCCUCCAACAUUUGACGCAUUUUAGACUAGGUUGCAUGGACACUCCGACUCGCCCCUGACAUAGGUUGGACACAACCCGGCAAGGGUAUUUUUGUAAAUUUGAAAAAUAUUUUGAAUCAAUUUGGAAACAUUGAAACAUUUGGGGCAAUUUGAAAAUACAAAACCUAAAGCCUAACAACAAAGGAAAACUAAUGAAAAUGACUUGAAAACCGUGAGUUUUAACCAAAAACCAUGUAAUAACUUUAUUUAAUGGUUAGGACAAAGCCCAAUACUAAAUCAGUCUAAUUAAAAUGGCCCAAAUAUUGAGUUUACAAUUUUAUCCCUAACGGCAACCUUUUGUCCGUUAAUCUCUCUUCAUUAUGGAUCUCUCUAAUAUUUUCUCCCCCAUUUUUUCCUGACAUUCAAAACCUUCCAUUUUUCUUUCUAAUCUCGCAUAGCAACUCCAUUUCUAUCACUAUGUAAAAACUACAGCUUCGACCCCAAACCUAAUUUUGAGCCGUCUCCAUCUCUGUGAAAAUCAGAAACGAUCUCUUACAAGCAAAACGGUAUGAUUUUGUCACUCUCUCCCUCCCUCCCAAAAUUUCUCUCUCUCUCUCUCUCUCUCUCUCUCUCUCUCUCUUCUCUGUAAAGAUGAGCAAGGGAUCUGCACUUUCACCGACAUCGGCAAAAAAGCCAAAGGUGAAUUUUUGCCCUUCCCUCCUCAUUCAUCUGAUUAUUAACGUUUCAAUUUGAUGAAGAAGAAAAGAAGAUUUCGAGGUACUAUUUUUAAUUUUUCUUCUUCAGUGGAGUUCAUCAUUUGUUUCUCCAGGAAAUAAAUUUGAGAUUUGUUAGCUUUUUGUUCAGUUUUUUUUCUUUUCAGAUACAGUGUAUUUUUUUUUCCAGAUACAAUUUUGCCAACAUUUUUUUCCAGAAACAGUGUUAUGUUUUUGUUUUCUAGAAACAGUGUUAUAUUUUGGUUUUUUUUUCAAAUACAAUGUUUGUUUGUUGAUAGGAGCAUAUUUAUGCGACUUAGUUAGCUUGUUUCUUGGCAUUUAUUUAGUUAGUUUCUACUUAUUAUAGUGAUUUAAGCUAUUUUCGUGUGUUUGUAGGUUCAAAUGACAAAGUUGGCAAGAAAGUGCAUUUUGGUGCAGUUUUGGGCUGAAUUGGAGUGCAUGCAUGUGGGGCAAGUUGAAUGGACGUUUUUGGUGCUUAAAUGAGGUUAGGAACAUGCUACAAAUUUGGAGAAACAAAUGCAAGUUGCAAGAAUGGUUGGUGCACUCACCUAACCUACCAGAAAUUGAAUGGAUGGUGCACUUACCUAAAUUGAUGGAUGGUGCACUCAUCUAACUCACCUAAAUUGAAUGGAAUGUGCACUCAUCUAACUCACCUAAUCCAUCAUCUCCCUAUAAAUACCCAUUGCCAUGCAUUCAUGUAAGAGACCCAUCUACCCUUCACCAUAACUCACCUAUAUUCAUCCACCACCAUAACCUACCACUCAUCCAUCAUUCCACACCUUGUGCCGCUGCAAAGAAGAAGGAUGAGGAUUGCUUGGAGUUGUGCUAGCCAUUCAAUUUGGAUUACUGGAGCAUUCUAGGUGUAUUCUACUUUGGUUUUCAAUGUUUAAUUUCAAUUGUUUCUAUUUAAUUGCAAGUAUGAGGAACUAAACCCCUUUUGACUAGAGGGAAUUUCGAAACCAUGAACAUAUUUGUGUUAUGAAUUGAUUAAUUCCAGUUGUGAUUUCAUAAAGUGUGAAUGCAAUUUGCUUAACUGUUUUAUUCAAAACUUAUUCUUGUAUGUUGAUUAAGAAGGCCUACAUAGUUUGCAUGCUUGAAUUUGAUGCUAGAAUAUAAAUGAGUUUCACCUUAUCGUUACAAAUUUAUAUUUAUGAGUAGUGAAGGUUGCUAGUCACAAUCGCGUUAAUUGAAUUAUUGGCAAACGUAUCAUGCAUUCAUGGUUACGAAUGUCUCGUCAACACUUAUGAUUUUCAUGGAACGUAAUGAUCUCUGAUUGUAUCUCUAUUAUGCAUUCAUGUAGGGGACAUUUG
RNAcentral lists this long non-coding RNA (4181 nucleotides) under Malus domestica (apple). RNAcentral describes it as "long non-coding RNA (MDOM_LNC005092)". Lineage: Eukaryota; Viridiplantae; Streptophyta; Magnoliopsida; Rosales; Rosaceae. The record is from RNAcentral.